CCCUUAGAUGUCCUGGGCCGCACGCGCGCUACACUGAUGCAUUCAACGAGUAUUUCCUUGGCCGAGAGGCCUGGGCAAUCUUUUAAACCUGCAUCGUGAUAGGGAUAGAUUAUUGCAAUUAUUAAUCUUGAACGAGGAAUUCCUAGUAAACGCAAAUCAUCAAUUUGCAUUGAUUACGUCCCUGCCCUUUGUACACACCGCCCGUCGCACCUACCGAUUGAAUGGUCCGGUGAAAUCUCGGGAUUGUGGCCAGUUCACUUUAUUGGGAGUUGGCUGCGAGAACUUGCUUAAACCUUAUCAUUUAGAGGAAGGUGAGGUCGUAACA
This 325-nucleotide ribosomal RNA is filed under the name uncultured eukaryote. Its description in RNAcentral is "partial 18S ribosomal RNA". It matches the Rfam family "Eukaryotic small subunit ribosomal RNA", at positions 1470 to 1796 of the family's 1831-position model. The record is from RNAcentral.